UCUUUUUGUGUAUAAUUUAAGGUCUCGCCUGCCCACUGAAAAUUUAAAUGGCCGCGGUAUUUUGACCGUGCUAAGGUAGCAUAAUCAUUAGUUUUUUUAUUGAGAACUGGAAUGAAGGGUUGGAUGAAAAAAUAACUGUCUCUAUUUAAUUUUAUUAGAAUUUUAUUUUUAAGUUAAAAAGCUUAAAUUAUUUUAAAAGACGAGAAGACCCUAUAGAGUUUAAUAUUUUUAUUUUAACUUAAAUUUAGUAAUUUAAUUUUUAUUAAAAAUAUGAGUAUUUAAUUGGGGUGAUUAAAAAAUUUAAUUAACUUUUUUUCUUCUUUUUUAUAAAUUUAUAUAUAUUUGAUCCAAAUUUAUUGAUUAUAAGAUUAAAUUACCUUAGGGAUAACAGCGUAAUUUUAUUUAAGAGUUCAAAUCUAAAAUAAAGAUUGCGACCUCGAUGUUGGAUUAAAA
RNAcentral lists this ribosomal RNA (453 nucleotides) under Alticini sp. IBE-JGZ-01012. RNAcentral describes it as "partial 16S ribosomal RNA". The record is from RNAcentral. Lineage: Eukaryota; Metazoa; Arthropoda; Insecta; Coleoptera; Chrysomelidae.